RNAcentral lists this ribosomal RNA (439 nucleotides) under uncultured bacterium. Its description in RNAcentral is "partial 16S ribosomal RNA". It matches the Rfam family "Bacterial small subunit ribosomal RNA", at positions 339 to 795 of the family's 1533-position model. The record is from RNAcentral.
CUACGGGGGGCUGCAGUGGGGAAUAUUGCACAAUGGAGGAAACUCUGAUGCAGCAACGCCGCGUGGAGGAUGACGCAUUUCGGUGUGUAAACUCCUUUUAUAUGGGAAGAUAAUGACGGUACCAUAUGAAUAAGCACCGGCUAACUCCGUGCCAGCAGCCGCGGUAAUACGGAGGGUGCAAGCGUUACUCGGAAUCACUGGGCGUAAAGCGCGCGCAGGCGGCUAGAUAAGUUGGAAGUGAAAUCCUAUGGCUCAACCAUAGAACUGCUUCCAAAACUGUUUAGCUAGAGUCUGGGAGGGGAAGAUGGAAUUAGUAGUGUAGGGGUAAAAUCCGUAGAGAUUACUAGGAAUACCAAAAGCGAAGGCGAUCUUCUGGAACAGUACUGACGCUGAGGCGCGAAAGCGUGGGGAGCAAACAGGAUUAGAUACCCGAGUAGUC